RNA transcript from Carlito syrichta (Philippine tarsier), 713 nucleotides. It is a transcript of the gene named eukaryotic translation initiation factor 3 subunit K pseudogene, with no coding region annotated. The transcript has a single exon. Lineage: Eukaryota; Metazoa; Chordata; Mammalia; Primates; Tarsiidae. The record is from RefSeq and is a predicted model, not a curated record.
AUGACAAUAAUCGUGAUGUUUGAGCAGAUGAGAGUGAACGUGGGCAAGUUGCUCAAGGGUAUCGACAGGAACAAUCCUAAAAACCUGGCCACCUUGGAGUGCUACGUGGAGACAUAGGCCAAGGAGAAUGCCUAUGAUCUGGAAGUCAACCUGGCUGUUCUGAAGCAAUACAGGUUCAACCAGUCUUCCUUCAGACUAUGGUCGCUGCCCAGAUCCUGCUGAAGGCCCUCAAAAACCUGCUCCACACUGACUUCACACCCUGUGCAAGUGCAUGAUUGACCAGGCACAUCAAGAAGAGUAGCCGAUCUGACAGAUUUUGUACCUUGGGGACCUUCUGGGAACCUGCCACUUCCAGACCUUCUAGUAAGUCUUGGAUGAAAACAUGGACCUCUUGGGAGGGAUAACUGGCUUUGAAGACGUUGUCAGAAAAUGUUUCUACCAAGUCGUGGGUAUCAUCUACCAGCACAUCGACCACUGGCUGCUGGCAGAGAUGCGUGGGGAUCUGAUGGACAGCCAACUGAAGGUGUGGAUGAGCAAGCAGAGAUGGAGCACCAACACGUCGGGGCAGAUCUUUAUCUGCGGCCAAGAGGAGAGCAUUAAGACUAAGAACAUCGUGGAGAAGAUUGACUUUGACAGUGUGUCCAGCAUCAUGGCCUCCUCCCAGGAACUAGAGACUUCUAAUAAAGAUUGUUGACUUGGCAAAAAAUAAAAAA